GAGGAAUAUUGGUCAAUGGGCGAGAGCCUGAACCAGCCAAGUCGCGUGAAGGAAGACUGCCUUAUGGGUUGUAAACUUCUUUUAUACAGGAAUAAAAAGGCUUACGUGUAGGCCAUUGCAAGUACUGUAUGAAUAAGCAUCGGCUAACUCCGUGCCAGCAGCCGCGGUAAUACGGAGGAUGCGAGCGUUAUCCGGAUUUAUUGGGUUUAAAGGGUGCGCAGGCGGGCUUUUAAGUCAGCGGUGAAAUCUGGACGCUUAACGUCCAAACUGCCGUUGAAACUGGGAGUCUUGAGUAUGGAUGAAGUAGGCGGAAUUCGUUGUGUAGCGGUGAAAUGCGUAGAUAUUAGGAGGAACACCAGUGGCGAAGGCGGCCUGCUGGGCUUUUACUGACGCUGAGGCUCGAAAGUGUGGGGAGCAAACA
This 421-nucleotide ribosomal RNA is filed under the name uncultured Dysgonomonas sp. RNAcentral describes it as "bacterial SSU rRNA". It matches the Rfam family "Bacterial small subunit ribosomal RNA", at positions 356 to 774 of the family's 1533-position model. Lineage: Bacteria; Pseudomonadati; Bacteroidota; Bacteroidia; Bacteroidales; Dysgonomonadaceae. The record is from RNAcentral.